GACGAACGCUGGCGGCGUGCCUAACACAUGCAAGUCGAGCGAAGAAUUGGGAGCUUGCUCUUGAUUCUUAGCGGCGGACGGGUGAGUAACGCGUGAGCAACCUGCCUCGAACUGGGGGAUAACGCAUCGAAAGAUGUGCUAAUACCGCGUAAGACCACAGUACCACAUGGUACAGGGGUCAAAGGAGCAAUCCGGUUUGAGAUGGGCUCGCGUCCGAUUAGCUAGUUGGCGGGAUAACAGCCCACCAAGGCGACGAUCGGUAGCCGACCUGAGAGGGUGAUCGGCCACAUUGGAACUGAGACACGGUCCAG
This 311-nucleotide ribosomal RNA is filed under the name uncultured bacterium. Its description in RNAcentral is "bacterial SSU rRNA". It matches the Rfam family "Bacterial small subunit ribosomal RNA", at positions 28 to 334 of the family's 1533-position model. The record is from RNAcentral.